UUAGCUAUUUUAGAUAGUUUGUGUUCAUGUGAAAUCAUGGAUACAAACGGCGAAAACGUAAGUUUGUAUCUAUGAUGGCUAAGGAUUUUCCCUAUGACUUUCAAGCCACGUAGAUAAAAAAAUCUAUGGUGGCUUUUUCAUUUAUCUUUUUGCAA
RNAcentral lists this non-coding RNA (155 nucleotides) under Pilibacter termitis. RNAcentral describes it as "Enterococcus sRNA 2410". It matches the Rfam family "Enterococcus sRNA 2410". From Rfam's summary of the family: Produced as 2 transcripts on Northern blot. Expressed in mid, late exponential and early stationary phases of growth. The record is from Rfam by way of RNAcentral. Lineage: Bacteria; Bacillati; Bacillota; Bacilli; Lactobacillales; Enterococcaceae.